Molecule: transfer RNA, 74 nt
Filed under: Actinomycetota bacterium
Lineage: Bacteria; Bacillati; Actinomycetota
Description: tRNA-Gln
Rfam family: tRNA
About the family: Transfer RNA (tRNA) molecules are approximately 80 nucleotides in length.
Source: RNAcentral
UCCGCCUUGGUGCAACUGGCAGCACGGCGCCCUUUGGUGGCGUUCAGAUCCAGGUUCGAAUCCUGGGGGCGGAG